This 450-nucleotide ribosomal RNA is filed under the name uncultured bacterium. RNAcentral's name for it is "partial 16S ribosomal RNA". It matches the Rfam family "Bacterial small subunit ribosomal RNA", at positions 354 to 796 of the family's 1533-position model. The record is from RNAcentral.
GUGGGGAAUAUUGGACAAUGGGCGAAAGCCUGAUCCAGCCAUGCCGCGUGUGUGAAGAAGGUCUUCGGAUUGUAAAGCACUUUAAGUUGGGAGGAAGGGCAGUAAGUUAAUACCUUGCUGUUUUGACGUUACCAACAGAAUAAGCACCGGCUAACUUCGUGCCAGCAGCCGCGGUAAUACGAAGGGUGCAAGCGUUAAUCGGAAUUACUGGGCGUAAAGCGCGCGUAGGUGGUUCAGCAAGUUGGAGGUGAAAUCCCCGGGCUCAACCUGGGAACUGACUCCAAAACUACUGAGCUAGAGUACGGUAGAGGGUAGUGGAAUUUCCUGUGUAGCGGUGAAAUGCGUAGAUAUAGGAAGGAACACCAGUGGCGAAGGCGACUACCUGGACUGAUACUGACACUGAGGUGCGAAAGCGUGGGGAGCAAACAGGAUUAGAAACCCUGGUAGUCC